UACGUAGGGGGCAAGCGUUGUCCGGAUUUAUUGGGCGUAAAGAGCGUGUAGGCGGCCAGGUAGGUCCGUUGUGAAAACUCGAGGCUCAACCUCGAGACGUCGAUGGAAACCAUCUGGCUAGAGUCCGGAAGAGGAGAGUGGAAUUCCUGGUGUAGCGGUGAAAUGCGCAGAUAUCAGGAGGAACACCUAUGGCGAAGGCAGCUCUCUGGGACGGUACUGACGCUGAGACGCGAAAGCGUGGGGAGCGAACAGG
Molecule: ribosomal RNA, 253 nt
Filed under: uncultured bacterium
Lineage: Bacteria
Description: partial 16S ribosomal RNA
Rfam family: Bacterial small subunit ribosomal RNA
Source: RNAcentral